AGCUGUCCUGACUGCUGGUGUGUUUCCAUCCUGUGUUAAGACUGCGUUUUGUCAAAGGACUGUAAAGACUGCUAAAGCUAUCCACAGGAGGGACGAAGUUGGAUAAGAAAAAUAUUUUCAUCCCUUCUCUUCAGUCGGACUUCGGGCUCACUGAGGUUUUACAACUUAGAUCGCUCCGCCAAUUCACAGUCACACACACUGAGUGAACAACCCUGAAUUAUCUGGUGCUGUGUGACUUCCGGCUCUUCCCAAAGUCACAGCGACCAUAAAAGGAAUCCAUUUUGGAUUGGUUCUGGACCUGGAGGCAGUCGCAACAGCACACUAAAGACGCUCAAGAGAGAGGACUUCAAAGCCGCUGCAGGAAGUGUGAGAAUGAUCGGAGGGGUGUGUUUGAUGCGGGAGGAAAGCUUCUGAGGGGAAUUCAUGGCGAUGUGUUCUCAUGGAAUCAUUUUCUAAAAGAUUAAAGUAUUUACCAUAGUUUUUCCUCACAUC
Molecule: long non-coding RNA, 492 nt
Filed under: Chinchilla lanigera (long-tailed chinchilla)
Lineage: Eukaryota; Metazoa; Chordata; Mammalia; Rodentia; Chinchillidae
Description: lncRNA (ENSCLAG00000024806.1)
Source: RNAcentral